GGGGGGGGGGGGGGGGGGGGGGGGGGGGGGGGGGGGGGGGGGGGGGGGGGGGGGGGGGCCAGGCUGUCCCCAACCCACCCGGUGUCCCCAAACUGUCCCCAACCCACCCCAACCUUCCCCAGUUGUGCCCAACCAGCCCCGAACUGUCCCCAAGUGUCCCCAAGUGUCCUGAGCUGUCCCAAGUGUCCCCAAACUGUCCCCAAGUGUCCCUGACCCGCCCCAGUGUCCCCAAAGUGUCCCCAGUGUCCCCACCUGUCACCAGAGUGUCGCCAACUGUCCCCAGUGUCCCCAAGCCCCCCCGCAGUGUCCCCAGCUGUCCCCAGCCCUUCGCUGGGUCCCCAGUGUGUCCCCACGGUGCCACCUCAGCCCCACAGUGCCACAUGUCCCCACUGUGCCCCACCUGGCACCUGUCCUGUCACACCUGUCACCCCUGUGUCACACCUGUCACACCUGGGUGUCAGACCUGUCUCACCUGCGCAGGUGGAGCUGGCCACAAGGCAGUUCCCGUACCAGAACUGCUGUCACUGUCACACUUGUCUCACCUGUCUCACACCUGUGUCUCACGUGGCUCACCUGUGUCUCACCUGCGUGUGUCUCGCCUGUCUCACCUGUGCAGGUGGAGCUGGCCACGGGGCAGUUCCCGUUCCAGACCUGCUGUCCUUGUCCCUGUCACACCUGUGUCUCACCUGUCUCACCUGUCACACCUGUGUCUCACCUGUGUCACACCUGUUUCACACCUGUGUCACACCUGUGUCUCCCCUGUCACACCUGUGUGUGUCUUGCCUGUCUCACCUGUGCAGGUGGAGCUGGCCACAGAGCAGUUCCUGUACCAGAACUGCUGUCCCUGUCACAUCUGUGUCUCCCCUAUCACACCUGUGUGUGUCUUGCCUGUCUCACCUGCGCAGGUGGAGCUGGCCACGGGGCAGUUCGGGGACACACCUGGGACACUGGGGACACACCUGGGACACUGGGGACACACAGGGGACAGGGGGACACACCUGGGACAGGGGGACACACCUGGGACACUGGGGACACACCUGGGACACUGGGGACACACAGGGGACAGGGGGACACACCUGGGACAGGGGGACACACCUGGGACACUGGGGACACACCUGGGACACUGGGGACACACAGGGGACAGGGGGACACACCUGGGACAGGGGGACGCACCUGGGAUACUGGGGACACACAGGGGACAUGGGGGACACACCUGGGACAGGGGGACACACCUGGGACACUGGGGACACACCUGGGACACUGGGGACACACAGGGGACAGGGGGACACACCUGGGACAGGGGGACACACCUGGGACACUGGGGACACACCUGGGACACUGGGGACACACAGGGGACAGGGGGACACACCUGGGACAGGGGGACACACCUGGGACACUGGGGACACACCUGGGACACUGGGGACACACAGGGGACAGGGGGACACACCUGGGACAGGGGGACACACCUGGGACACUGGGGACACACCUGGGACACUGGGGACACACAGGGGACAGGGGGACACACCUGGGACAGGGGGACACACCUGGGACACUGGGGACACACCUGGGACACUGGGGACACACAGGGGACAGGGGGACACACCUGGGACAGGGGGACACACCUGGGACACUGGGGACACACCUGGGACACUGGGGACACACAGGGGACAGGGGGACACACCUGGGACAGGGGGACACACCUGGGACACUGGGGACACACCUGGGACACUGGGGACACACAGGGGACAGGGGGACACACCUGGGACAGGGGGACGCACCUGGGACACUGGGGACACACCUGGGACACUGGGGACACACAGGGGACAGGGGGACACACCUGGGACAGGGGGGACACACCUGGGACAUUGGGGACACACCUGGGACACUGGGGACACACAGGGGACAGGGGGACACACCUGGGACAGGGGGACGCACCUGGGAUACUGGGGACACACAGGGGACAUGGGGGACACACCUGGGACAGGGGGACACACCUGGGACACUGGGGACACACCUGGGACACUGGGGACACACAGGGGACAGGGGGACACACCUGGGACAGGGGGGACACACCUGGGACAUUGGGGACACACCUGGGACACUGGGGACACACAGGGGACAGGGGGACACACCUGGGACAGGGGGGACACACCUGGGACAUUGGGGACACACCUGGGACACUGGGGACACACAGGGGACAGGGGGACACACCUGGGACAGGGGGGACACACCUGGGACAUUGGGGACACACCUGGGACACUGGGGACACACAGGGGACAGGGGGACACACCUGGGACAGGGGGACACACCUGGGACACUGGGGACACACCUGGGACACUGGGGACACACAGGGGACAGGGGGACACACCUGGGACAGGGGGGACACACCUGGGACAUUGGGGACACACCUGGGACACUGGGGACACACAGGGGACAGGGGGACACACCUGGGACAGGGGGGACACACCUGGGACAUUGGGGACACACCUGGGUACUGGGGACACACAGGGGACAUGGGGGACACACCUGGGACAGGGGGACACACCUGGGACACUGGGGACACACAGGGGACAGGGGGACACACCUGGGACAGGGGGACACACCUGGGACAUUGGGGACACACCUGGGACACUGGGGACACACAGGGGACAGGGGGACACACGGGACAUUGGGGACACACUGAGGACAGGGGGACACACCUGGGACAUUUGGGACACACCUGGGACACUGGGGACAGGGGGGACAGGGGGACACUGGGGACACACAGGGGACAGUGGGGAUAUGGGGGACACACAGGGGACAUGGAGGAGCACUGGGGACAGUGGGGACACGCAGGGGACACGCAGGGGACACGCAGGGGACGUUGGGGACACGAGGACAUUGGGGACACUGGGGACAGGGCUGGGGUCCCGCAGGCGCUCACCCCCCAUCCCCUCCCCCAGCCUCACCAAGGACCACAGGAAGAGACCAAAGUACAACAAGUUACUGGAGCACACCUUCAUCAAGCGCUACGAGACGCUCGAGGUGGACGUGGCCACCUGGUUCAAGGACGUGAUGGCCCGGACAGAGUCCCCGCGCCCGGGGGGUGGCCUGGGCCACCACCUGCCCUUCUUCAGCAGGUAGCGCCAGCCCGGCGCCGCCACGCCCGGCGGGGACACCGGGGACAGGGACAGCGGGGACAGCCAGGACACGGGGACACCGCUGUGGCACCGGGGACAGCCAGGACACCGGGGACGUCCCUGUGACAGCGGGGACAGGGACAGCCAGGACACCGGGGACACACGACACCGGGGACAGGGACAGUGGGGACAGCCAGGACACGGGGACACCGCUGUGGCACCGGGGACAGCCAGGACACCGGGGACGUCCCUGUGACAGCGGGGACAGGGACAGCCAGGACACCGGGGACACACAGCUGGGACACCUCCGGGGACAGCCAGGACACUUCUGUGACACUGGGGACACCCCUGUG
This 3472-nucleotide long non-coding RNA is filed under the name Ficedula albicollis (Collared flycatcher). RNAcentral describes it as "lncRNA (ENSFALG00000025890.1)". The record is from RNAcentral. Lineage: Eukaryota; Metazoa; Chordata; Aves; Passeriformes; Muscicapidae.